RNAcentral lists this ribosomal RNA (451 nucleotides) under uncultured bacterium. Its description in RNAcentral is "partial 16S ribosomal RNA". It matches the Rfam family "Bacterial small subunit ribosomal RNA", at positions 354 to 796 of the family's 1533-position model. The record is from RNAcentral.
GUGGGGAAUAUUGGACAAUGGGGGGAACCCUGAUCCAGCCAUGCCGCGUGUGUGAAGAAGGCCUUUUGGUUGUAAAGCACUUUAAGCGAGGAGGAGGCUACCGAGAUUAAUACUCUUGGAUAGUGGACGUUACUCGCAGAAUAAGCACCGGCUAACUCUGUGCCAGCAGCCGCGGUAAUACAGAGGGUGCAAGCGUUAAUCGGAUUUACUGGGCGUAAAGCGCGCGUAGGUGGCCAAUUAAAUCAAAUGUGAAAUCCCCGAGCUUAACUUGGGAAUUGCAUUCGAUACUGGUUGGCUAGAGUAUGGGAGAGGAUGGUAGAAUUCCAGGUGUAGCGGUGAAAUGCGUAGAGAUCUGGAGGAAUACCGAUGGCGAAGGCAGCCAUCUGGCCUAAUACUGACACUGAGGUGCGAAAGCAUGGGGAGCAAACAGGAUUAGAAACCCCUGUAGUCC